RNAcentral lists this ribosomal RNA (301 nucleotides) under uncultured bacterium. RNAcentral's name for it is "partial 16S ribosomal RNA". It matches the Rfam family "Bacterial small subunit ribosomal RNA", at positions 509 to 807 of the family's 1533-position model. The record is from RNAcentral.
CAGCCGCCGCGGUAAUACGUAGGGUGCGAGCGUUAAUCGGAAUUACUGGGCGUAAAGCGUGCGCAGGCGGUUAUAUAAGACAGAUGUGAAAUCCCCGGGCUCAACCUGGGACCUGCAUUUGUGACUGUAUAGCUAGAGUACGGUAGAGGGGGAUGGAAUUCCGCGUGUAGCAGUGAAAUGCGUAGAUAUGCGGAGGAACACCGAUGGCGAAGGCAAUCCCCUGGACCUGUACUGACGCUCAUGCACGAAAGCGUGGGGAGCAAACAGGAUUAGAUACCCGCGUAGUCCCUGUCUCUUAUAC